AGAGUUUGAUCAUGGCUCAGAAUGAACGCUGGCGGCGUGCUUAACACAUGCAAGUCGAACGAGAAAGGGAUUGCUUGCAAUCCUGAGUAGAGUGGCGCACGGGUGAGUAACACGUAGAUAAUCUACCUUCAAGCCUGGGAUAACUGUUUGAAAGAGCAGCUAAUACCGGAUAAAGUAUGUCGACAUAAGUCAACCUAUGAAAAGUUGCCUCUUCUUGAAAGCAAUUGUUUGGAGAUGAGUCUGCGGACCAUUAGCUUGUUGGUGGGGUAAAGGCCUACCAAGGCUGCGAUGGUUAGCUAGUCUGAGAGGAUGAUCAGCCACACUGGAACUGGAACACGGUCCAGACUCCUACGGGAGGCAGCAGUGAGGAAUUUUGCGCAAUGGGGUAACCCCUGACGCAGCAACGCCGCGUGAGUGAAGAAGGCCUUUGGGUCGUAAAGCUCUGUCAACUGGGAAGAAGUUACAUUAUAUUAAUAGUAUAUUGUAUUGACGGUACCAGUGGAGGAAGCGCCGGCUAACUCCGUGCCAGCAGCCGCGGUAAUACGGGGGGCGCAAGCGUUAUUCGGAAUUAUUGGGCGUAAAGGGCGCGUAGGCGGUUUUGUCGGUCAGAUGUGAAAGCCCAGGGCUCAACCCUGGACGUGCAUUUGAAACAGCAAGACUUGAGUACGGGAGAGGAAAGCGGAAUUCCUGGUGUAGAGGUGAAAUUCGUANAUAUCNNAGGAACACCGAUGGCNAANGCAGCUUUCUGGNNCNAUACUGACGCUGAGNNGCGAAG
This 775-nucleotide ribosomal RNA is filed under the name uncultured bacterium. RNAcentral describes it as "bacterial SSU rRNA". It matches the Rfam family "Bacterial small subunit ribosomal RNA", at positions 8 to 758 of the family's 1533-position model. The record is from RNAcentral.